UAGGGAAUCUUCGGCAAUGGACGAAAGUCUGAUCGAGCAACGCCGCGUGAGUGAAGAAGGUUUUCGGAUCGUAAAACUCUGUUGUUAGAGAAGAACAAGGACGUUAGUAACUGAACGUCCCCUGACGGUAUCUAACCAGAAAGCCACGGCUAACUACGUGCCAGCAGCCGCGGUAAUACGUAGGUGGCAAGCGUUGUCCGGAUUUAUUGGGCGUAAAGCGAGCGCAGGCGGUUUCUUAAGUCUGAUGUGAAAGCCCCCGGCUCAACCGGGGAGGGUCAUUAGAAACUGGGAGACUUGAGUGCAGAAGAGGAGAGUGGAAUUCCAUGUGUAGCGGUGAAAUGCGUAGAUAUAUGGAGGAACACCAGUGGCGAAAGCGGCUCUCUGGUCUGUAACUGACGCUGAGGCUCGAAAGCGUGGGGAGCAAACAGG
RNAcentral lists this ribosomal RNA (429 nucleotides) under Gemmatimonadota bacterium. Its description in RNAcentral is "Gemmatimonadetes bacterium partial 16S ribosomal RNA". It matches the Rfam family "Bacterial small subunit ribosomal RNA", at positions 355 to 776 of the family's 1533-position model. The record is from RNAcentral. Lineage: Bacteria; Pseudomonadati; Gemmatimonadota.